GCAAACUUGGUCAUUUAGAGGAAGUAAAAGUCGUAACAAGGUUUCCGUAGGUGAACCUGCGGAAGGAUCAAUGCGGAGAAGAGGGUGGAGUGUGGAGUUGUGAGUGGGGGGGAGGAGAUUCCUUUUCACAGACUACAGACACAUUUCCACAAUAAACCUUUGUGAAUUGCUGCCAGGGUAUGUAUUGUGGAGGGGGGAAGGCAGAAAGUGAAACGUUUGGGGGGAGGAGAUGAGAGAGAUAAUUAUAUUAAACAAACUUUUAACAAUGGAUCUCUAGGCUCUUGCAUCGAUGAAGAACGCAGC
RNAcentral lists this unclassified non-coding RNA (303 nucleotides) under uncultured fungus. RNAcentral describes it as "partial contains small subunit ribosomal RNA, internal transcribed spacer 1, and 5.8S ribosomal RNA". The stretch from base 1 to 73 matches the Rfam family "Eukaryotic small subunit ribosomal RNA", at positions 1759 to 1831 of the family's 1831-position model. The record is from RNAcentral. Lineage: Eukaryota; Fungi.